CGACAGUCUUUAGAGAAUUUGAAUCAUAGGAUAUUGAUAAAUAGAGGGAUAAUUAAUCUUGAGGUACUAAGGGCUGGAUUAUAGAAGUUUGGUACCAAAUUUACCCAAUUAGAAAUAACAGUUGAUGGAGCUGGUUGCUGGUAUGUUAAUCUGAUAGCCCCGACGUUAAACAAUAUCUUCUUUUGUCCUGUAUAUGCACACUUACAUUCUUCUUCUUGCAAUUGUAUUUAUUAACUAGCUUAUUGCCUUCACAUAUACACUCAUGGAUGAUUUUUAUUUAAGAGCAUAACUUCAUGAAUGGGAGAGGUUAUAAAGUUUACUCACAUAUUCUGGUUUCGGAAACAAAAUAAGAAAGGCCAAUCUGCAGGACCUUGCUGUCCAUAGCGGGGGUGAUAUAGUCAAAGGCUCUAUUCGCUUGCUCAUUUCACAAUGGCUAUGAAGUAAUGUGGUGCACACUAUACUCUAUUAAAUGGGAAUUUACUCGUAAUCUACAUUUACAUGCUGCUUCGGCAAUUAUCAGUGUGAUAGUGUGCGCUUAGCGACGCCAGAGAAGUGAGAAAGUCCGCCGUUUGGUGUGGGCCAGAAUACUCACGCAUCUCUACGCUUAUUUCACUUGUUGUGUUGUCUCCAAUUGUUGCAAUGCUGUCAUCUCAUUCGAUUUUGUUUUUCAGAGUUGAGAAAUGAUGGAUAAAUAACAGAAUUAUGUUCAUAUUUUCAUUAGUUUGUGCAAUUCAUUUGGAGAAAAAAGUUGUUACGGUUAAUUCAUUAGUUUGUUAUAGUGAUAUUUUGAGCAGAACGGAAAAGAUUUGGUGCGGAUCUGAAUGUGCUGAUGAAAUUACGGUCCAAUAGAGGAACCAAUGUGCUCCUGGUCUGAUCAAUAAUUGUGAAGAUCUUUUUUGGGUGGUCAUUCAUGGGAUGGACUUCACCUUCAGGUCAAUGGUCUACUUUCUAGCAUGAAGCAGAGGAUUAUAACUACCGGGAAGCAUAGGAUGUUGUUCAUGAAUUCGACAGUAAUUUUGGUGAGGAUGUGAAAUCCCUCCUUCUGCUCAUUCCAAUCUUUCAAAUUGAUUUAUUCAUUGUUGUACCUUUCCUUGAUCUUCUCUUCAUUCCGAUCAAAUUUCUCACCGCUUCUCCUGAUGGUCCAGCCAAUUAAUAAGAGAAAAGAGGGAGAAGAAAAAUGUAUGACACAAGAAGAGAUACCUCUACAAGCAAUGGAAAUAGGUAUUCCUUAUAUUCUAGAGAUCAUGAUCAUGAAAAAUCUUGAAACAUGUACUGACAAGAGAAAGGAGGAAGUGAAGAAAAACUCUUCACAUGACAUCAUGAUAAGCUCUGUUCUGUUGUAAACAUGUUUGUAGUAUCAUUUAUCAUCAAGCAUUUAAAGUGUUAUUAAGAGUAAAAUGACAUUCUCUAUGUGCUCUAGGUAAAUUUUCAAUGGAUACACAAUUCUUGUUUUUUCAUAUUUGGUCAAGCAGAAUCAUGUAUGAGAAAAUAAAGCUCUUUCCUGUAUUCGUGUUAUAUCUGGGAAGAUUAUUACUGGUUUUGCUACCAUAACAUGCAAAAUUUGGUGUGUCUGUGUGUGUGUGUGUCUGUGUGUGUGUGUGUGUGUGUGUGUGUGUGAGAGAGAGAGAGAGAGAGAGAGAGAGAGAGUCCAUGGGGUUGUGAUAUCGGAUGUUAAAGAAUAUGGCCUCUAAGACGUACGACUACUUAAUAGGUGAGCUCCAACCAAAGAAUUGGUACUUCAACAUGGAAUUUAUCACCUUCACAAAAAGAUGACAUAAUGUCAUUUUUUAGCAUUUUUUGCUUUUAUGUGUAUAUUGGAUUAUUUGCAAGCUAUGGUAUUAUUAUUUUUAAAUAAUGAAUUCCAUGCAAAGCUCUGUACCCGCACUUGAGUAGGAGAAAGUUAAGCAGAACAUAGUAUAUGAUUUUCCAAUGACGAAUAAAUUUAAGUUGACAAUGUUAUUGAUGGUUGGCACUGCUAGCCCCAAUGCCCUUGCUCUUAGAAGAUCAUGACUCAAUCUUAUUUUUGGUUGCAGCUAGAAAGAGGAUGUUGAUUGGUGAAGGAGUUCUUGCAACUAGCAAGGUAUUCUGCUUAUAACCUGAUUGUGAACUUUCUUCAAAGAUCAUCACUCAAAGUGAAGCAUAUUCAACAACUCUCCUAGGAAGUUCUCUUCUGUUCCUUUCAUAUUUUAUAUCUACUGGUAGCAUGGCGGUUAUAGCUCUCAUGUGUAUGGACUACUAUUGAUGGCUAUCCUUGCUUUUCUUCAUGGUUUCGUAUUAAAAUUGUUGUGUAACUGUUUCAUCUUUCACUACAAACAUUGCCUUUUUCAAAUCCAGUGAGCAUUCAUGUAAAACAGUGGCCACUCACAUCAGUGGAGUAAAUUAUGUAAGAUAAGCUACAUUGUCUAUAACCUACUUUCAUUUCAGAUGAAACAUGUCCUUUUUGACAGUGGCAAAGCCACAUGUAAGCUGGG
Molecule: long non-coding RNA, 2471 nt
Filed under: Triticum aestivum (bread wheat)
Lineage: Eukaryota; Viridiplantae; Streptophyta; Magnoliopsida; Poales; Poaceae
Description: long non-coding RNA (TAES_LNC028627)
Source: RNAcentral